Molecule: long non-coding RNA, 444 nt
Filed under: Homo sapiens (human)
Lineage: Eukaryota; Metazoa; Chordata; Mammalia; Primates; Hominidae
Description: non-protein coding lnc-TNFSF18-5:1
Source: RNAcentral
GAGGGGUGAAUUUUGGGGGCUUCCUCUUCACCUUGAAGGAGAUGUGUUCUCAGAAUGUAGGCCUUUUCACAUCCUCAUGAGCAUAUUAUUGCUCACUAAUGGGAUUAAUGUGCUAGUUCUCUGGGUUAUGUGCAUUUUGACAAGGACCUUUUGGGGAUAAUAUCACAAACCUCCUCAGAACAGUGCAAACUUCUAAUAGCAAGCAGUGUCAUUGUAGUGCUCUAAAAAUUUUGAUUUUGGGCAAAGUGAUCAGAGCUUAGGUGAGAGCCAGGGUUUGACCAACAUUCUGUGGAAGGUUGGGCCUGAUAAGGCAUACUCCUUUGGCCACCAAGAGGGCUCAGCUGCAGGGGAGAGGCAGAUUAGAAACAGCUGAAGCCCAGUACCCUAUCCUACUCUGGCUGAACUGGUAUCCAAGUUGCAAGACAAAGUCCUUUUCACUCUUCC